This is a long non-coding RNA of Perca fluviatilis (European perch), 1259 nucleotides long. RefSeq lists it as uncharacterized. The transcript is spliced from 6 exons. The record is from RefSeq and is a predicted model, not a curated record. NCBI's taxonomy places the organism in Eukaryota, Metazoa, Chordata, Actinopteri, Perciformes, Percidae.
CAUGGCACGACUUUCUACGUAGCAAGUAGUGUUAACGCAACUUGUCAUGUCAUAAAACCAAACUAAGAAGAAAAAGAUAUCAUUAUUUUGUUUAUCAAAGUAGAGGAGUUUGUUAUAUACGUUUAUUAAUGUCUUUAAUUUAGCUAACUUCGGGUGAGGAGAUAAUGAGAUUCCAUUGGAGGAAAGCAACCGUGUUUUUAAAUAAGCUUGCGAGAAAUUGCUAGCUAGCUAGCUCAACAGGUGGAGCAGAGGCGCUGCAGUGCGUUUCACCUGGAAACAACUAAAAUGUAUAGGAGCAGCGGCCAGGGGACCAACUCCAGUUCUGAGGCCAGCACCUCCGUCUGUUGGAGAAUGGCUUGUUCAAGGACAUACCUUACGUUUCACCACUGAGGAAGGACAAGCUAUAUCAAGACAAAUGAAACACCCCUCCUGCUUCCCCCCAAAAGAACCCCAACAAGGAGACUUCAGACUACCAUAUCAGGUUGGGCUGUCCGAGGAUCGGCCUGUGGGAUGGAGGUAAGCUUCUGGGCUUCUGUCUGUCUGUCUCUGUCUCUCAGAUUCCUCUGGAUCCACCCCCCUCCUGGAUCCCAGAUUCUCUCCAUCAUCUCCUCCAACCGUGAGGUCUAACCGUCAGGGCAGGGGCGUGUGGGCGGACAUGCUGGGCGCUGGCAGCGGGCUCCGUCUGCUAGUGAGUAAUCAUGGUCCUGAGACAGCAUGAGCAGCAGCUAUUGCUGUAAUUUAAAGUCAAUAUUGUACUCAUGAUCCCUCUCCCCGGGCUAACGGAACAGCCUCUCACCGCGAUGGAGAAAGUCAUCUCUGCUGCUUAGAGGGAAUCCUCAGCUUCUCUUCUCUGAUUCUCAAAAGAAGCCUGAAUGAGAUAAAGAAUGCUCGGUGCAUUUCUGUGGGAUGAUUUCCAGAGGUAUCAGAGAUCUGCCUGCCUACUCCUACUGCGGAUUAUUGGACUUGAAGGCUGUCUAUACUCUCAACGAAACAGGCUCUCAGGUUCUCUGUAUGACCCACACAGAUGUAACCCCCCCCCCCAUCCCCCCUGUAAAUUAUGCCUAUGUAAGGACCCCAGGUAUCUGUACUCCUACAAUGUCUUUCAAGGAGAGGAUGGUUAUGUGUUGGUUAUGUGUUCACCAUUCACAAAGCACAAUGUAACUGGAACCACUGGAGAUACAGAAAACAUUGUUUAUUACAAAUUAAAACAUUCGCUAUAUUUCUGAAAUUAGUGUAAUCAGUGUGUAUCAUAGAUGUGU